AACGAACGCUGGCGGCAGGCCUAACACAUGCAAGUCGAGCGAAGUCUUCGGACUUAGCGGCGGACGGGUGAGUAACGCGUGGGAACAUGCCCAAAGGUACGGAAUAGCCUCGGGAAACUGGGAGUAAUACCGUAUGUGCCCUUCGGGGGAAAGAUUUAUCGCCUUUGGAUUGGCCCGCGUUGGAUUAGGUAGUUGGUGGGGUAAUGGCCUACCAAGCCGACGAUCCAUAGCUGGUUUGAGAGGAUGAUCAGCCACACUGGGACUGAGACACGGCCCAGACUCCUACGGGAGGCAGCAGUGGGGAAUCUUAGACAAUGGGCGCAAGCCUGAUCUAGCCAUGCCGCGUGAUCGAUGAAGGCCUUAGGGUUGUAAAGAUCUUUCAGAUGGGAAGAUAAUGACGGUACCAUCAGAAGAAGCCCCGGCUAACUCCGUGCCAGCCGCCGC
Molecule: ribosomal RNA, 444 nt
Filed under: uncultured bacterium
Lineage: Bacteria
Description: bacterial SSU rRNA
Rfam family: Bacterial small subunit ribosomal RNA
Source: RNAcentral